This 493-nucleotide ribosomal RNA is filed under the name uncultured bacterium. RNAcentral's name for it is "bacterial SSU rRNA". It matches the Rfam family "Bacterial small subunit ribosomal RNA", at positions 30 to 507 of the family's 1533-position model. The record is from RNAcentral.
AUGAACGCUAGCGGCAGGCUUAAACAUGCAAGUUGAGGGGCAGCAUGAUAUACGCGAGUAUAUUGAUGGCGACCGGCGGACGGGUGAGUAAUAGGUAGGAGACCUACCUCAUACAGGGGGAUAGCAUAGAGAAAUCUGUGGUAAUACCCCAUGAGGUUAUAUGAAUAGAGGCAUAUAAUCAAAGCAUAAGCGAUUAUGCGGUAUGAGAGGGGCCUACUGACCAUUAGCUAGUUGGUGAGGUAAGGGCUCACCAAGGCGAAGAUGGUUAGGGGUUUUGAGAGAGAGACCCCCCACAUUGGAACUGAGAGACGGUCCAGACUCCUACGGGAGGCAGCAGUAGGGAAUAUUGGGCAAUGGGCGAAAGCCUGACCCAGCCAUGCCGCGUGAAGGAAGACGGCCUUAUGGGUUGUAAACUUCUUUACUACGCGAAUAGAGGUUAGUACGAGAUACUAAUAGGAAGGUAGUGUAGUAAAAAGCACCGGCUAACUCCGUG